This 824-nucleotide ribosomal RNA is filed under the name uncultured bacterium. Its description in RNAcentral is "bacterial SSU rRNA". It matches the Rfam family "Bacterial small subunit ribosomal RNA", at positions 8 to 811 of the family's 1533-position model. The record is from RNAcentral.
AGAGUUUGAUCCUGGCUCAGGACGAACGCUGGCGGCGUGCCUAAUACAUGCAAGUCGAACGAGAGCGACCGGUGCUUGCACUGGUCAAUCUAGUGGCGAACGGGUGAGUAACACGUGGGUAACCUGCCCAUCAGAGGGGGAUAACAUUCGGAAACGGAUGCUAAAACCGCAUAGGUCUUCGAACCGCAUGGUUUGAAGAGGAAAAGAGGCGCAAGCUUCUGCUGAUGGAUGGACCCGCGGUGCAUUAGCUAGUUGGUGAGGUAACGGCUCACCAAGGCCGUGAUGCAUAGCCGACCUGAGAGGGUGAUCGGCCACAUUGGGACUGAGACACGGCCCAAACUCCUACGGGAGGCAGCAGUAGGGAAUCUUCCGCAAUGGACGCAAGUCUGACGGAGCAACGCCGCGUGAGUGAAGAAGGUUUUCGGAUCGUAAAACUCUGUUGUUAGAGAAGAACAAGUGCUAAAGUAACUGUUAGCACCUUGACGGUAUCUAACCAGAAAGCCACGGCUAACUACGUGCCAGCAGCCGCGGUAAUACGUAGGUGGCAAGCGUUGUCCGGAUUUAUUGGGCGUAAAGCGAAGCGCAGGCGGUUCCUUAAGUCUGAUGGGAAAGCCCCCGGCUCAACCGGGGAGGGUCAUUGGAAACUGGGGGAACUUGAGUGCAGAAGAGGAGAGUGGAGUUCCAUGUGUAGCGGUGAAAUGCGUAGAUAUAUGGAGGAAUACCGAUGGCGAAGGCAGCCUCCUGGGAUAACACUGACGUUCAUGCUCGAAAGCGUGGGUAGCAAACAGGAUUAGAUACCCUGGUAGUCCACGCCCUAAACGAUG